RNAcentral lists this long non-coding RNA (1064 nucleotides) under Calidris pugnax (ruff). RNAcentral describes it as "lncRNA (ENSCPUG00000007075.1)". Lineage: Eukaryota; Metazoa; Chordata; Aves; Charadriiformes; Scolopacidae. The record is from RNAcentral.
GCAAAGGAAAGUUUCUCCUUGUUAUCAAUCAUCUCCCUCCGCUGCCUUCGACUUUUAAAUUAUCUGGAGGAGCGGGGAGAGAAUAGAUAGGGUCCCCAUCACUUACUGCAGCCCUCGGUCUCCGCUCCCUGCAGCAGCAGACGCUGUGUCUUCCCCCUUCAGCGGUCCCCCCCCACUUUGGCUAUGGGGUAAAAUCACAUGCAGCCACACCCGGAACACGUUCUACUUUUGGUUGUCUUCAAAAUAGGAUUUUUGGGACAGAAAAAAAAAAAAAAAAAAAAAAAAAGAGAGAGAGAGAGAAGGAAAGAAAGAAAAAGAAAAAAAAAGAGAAGGCAGGGAGAUGGCGGGAGGUGGUGUCAUCAUGCAGCUGGAAUGAGGGGGGGGUGAGGAGCAGCAGCCCACACCCUCAUUCCAGAGUUUAUUAUCCUCCGAAGGGAGCCCGCUCCUCCCAUUCCCCCGGGACGGGCCAGCACCGGGUUGCUGGGGCUCCGUUACGGCCCCGGCGGCUGCCAGAGCCCACCGGGGACGGGGAGGAACCGGGGAGAGGGGGGGCUGCCGUCGGGGGGAGGCAGCGGAGCCCCCGUUGGGCACGGGCAGAUGGCGGGCUGGCAGGCGGCCGAGGGGCUGGCAGCAACGGGAAUGACAUCACCCCACUGCCCGCGGCGGAGGGGCCGGCACAGCCCGGGGGAUGGGGAUGGGAUGGAUGGGAUGGGAUGGAGAUGGGGAUGGCAUGGGGAUGGGGACAGGAUGGUCCCGGGAUCCCCUGUCUCGUGCUGCUUUCUGAGACUUCUUUUCCCUUUGCUGCUCCUGGAAUUACUCCUCUGGGUCUGAGGAGGCACUGCCUGGAUGGUGCCCUUCGUGUGACCUUCAAGGCACCAUCUCAGUCCUGAAGGCAAGGGUGUCGAAAGAGAAAACUAGGCAAUGACUCCAUCUCCCUCCCUCGUACAGCAAUGAAGGACAGGAACCUUGCAGGGGAAAGCUGUGUCCCCUAAGGCUUAUCCUGGUAGCUAGGUAACCCUCAACAAAUUGCAGGCUAGGAAUAAAACCCUCUAAUGCCUUGUGCA